AAAACUAAAUAGUUCAAACCGGAGACAGCAGGUGCGAAUAGCUUAAUAUCCUGCCGAGGUAAAAACUCUAAUUGCCUGAAUUACUACCUACACGGUGUAGGUGUUACAGCGCCAAGAGCUUUACUGUGAAACCCCGGUUGAAAAAAUCGGGGUUUAUUGUUUUGGGU
Nostoc sp. PCC 7107 is the source of this 167-nucleotide regulatory RNA element. It matches the Rfam family "Ribosomal protein L10 leader". Rfam says of the family: This family is a putative r-protein leader autoregulatory structure found in B. subtilis and other low-GC Gram-positive bacteria. It is located in the 5' untranslated regions of mRNAs encoding ribosomal proteins L10 and L12 (rplJ-rplL). A Rho-independent transcription terminator structure that is probably involved in regulation is included at the 3' end. The record is from Rfam. NCBI's taxonomy places the organism in Bacteria, Bacillati, Cyanobacteriota, Cyanophyceae, Nostocales, Nostocaceae.